This 404-nucleotide ribosomal RNA is filed under the name uncultured Clostridium sp. RNAcentral's name for it is "bacterial SSU rRNA". It matches the Rfam family "Bacterial small subunit ribosomal RNA", at positions 356 to 774 of the family's 1533-position model. The record is from RNAcentral. Lineage: Bacteria; Bacillati; Bacillota; Clostridia; Eubacteriales; Clostridiaceae.
GGGGAAUAUUGCACAAUGGAGGAAACUCUGAUGCAGCAACGCCGCGUGAGGGAAGACGGUUUUCGGAUUGUAAACCUCUGUCCUUGGUGACGAAAAAAAUGACGGUAGCCAAGGAGGAAGCUCCGGCUAACUACGUGCCAGCAGCCGCGGUAAUACGUAGGGAGCAAGCGUUGUCCGGAUUUACUGGGUGUAAAGGGUGCGUAGGCGGCACUGCAAGUCAGGCGUGAAAACUAUGGGCUUAACUCAUAGAUUGCACUCGAAACUGCGGGGCUUGAGUGGAGUAGAGGCAGGCGGAAUUCCCGGUGUAGCGGUGAAAUGCGUAGAGAUCGGGAGGAACACCAGUGGCGAAGGCGGCCUGCUGGGCUUUAACUGACGCUGAAGCACGAAAGCAUGGGUAGCAAACA